GGACAUUUCCGCACCUGCCAGAAGUCUACGGCCAGCGGGGUGUGCGGGAUAACAUUCCCAUUGACGUACAUGGUCUGUGAUUUCACUGGAUGUCCAGCCCUCAGCGAUGUGAAAGUUGGGCCGAUGACUGGCUGUAACGAAAUAUGGCUCCGAAAUACCUGAAAAACACACCGAACAAAGGAAUAAAGAUGAUCAUCAUGACUCAACAAAGUACAUUCAACUCAACUAAUGCAAGUUAACAAGACCAGAAGUUAAAGCUCCACUGGUGGCUCCUACAGGCUGAGAAACACAUUUCUGAUGGAGUAAUUCAAGUCAGCCCAACAAGACAGAAACAAGGGAGUGUAAAGAAAUGAGAAAAACGGAAUAACGGCUUGUGUCAUGAAUAUUAAUGUCGCUCCACAUGACAUGGACAUCAUUUGCAGGAAUACUGCCCAUGCCCUCCUGAACCAAGAAUGUAUACCACCCUAUGCAAAUGGAAAUGUAUUUAUGAAAUAUUAAUCUCUUCAAAUUUUCAAUGUGUGUGCACUCUCUUAACCUGCUUUCAUAGCAUACACCUCUGCAGCACAUUUAUCACAUCAUAUAGGUGCCUAUAGGGACUGAAGACACAGGACAGUGUCAAAAUGUAACCUUAUUAGUCCACUUUUGAUAUCUGGCCUUGUGGGUUUAGGGUCUCAUUUAGGGAUCUUUCAGCGGCUGCGAUACAACUAUCUGCAAACUGCACUCUGUGCGAUGGGUCCAGAAAGAAACCAGUGACCUUCUCAUUAUGAAAGCAGCAAUAAAUCUCAGGAAGAUACAGUGA
Seriola aureovittata is the source of this 799-nucleotide long non-coding RNA. RefSeq lists it as uncharacterized. The transcript has 3 exons. The record is from RefSeq and is a predicted model, not a curated record. NCBI's taxonomy places the organism in Eukaryota, Metazoa, Chordata, Actinopteri, Carangiformes, Carangidae.